AUCUGACUAACGAGUCCUAAAUAGGACGAAACGCGCGUCAUGAAU
Schistosoma curassoni is the source of this 45-nucleotide non-coding RNA. The record is from Rfam. Lineage: Eukaryota; Metazoa; Platyhelminthes; Trematoda; Strigeidida; Schistosomatidae.